Molecule: ribosomal RNA, 253 nt
Filed under: uncultured bacterium
Lineage: Bacteria
Description: partial 16S ribosomal RNA
Rfam family: Bacterial small subunit ribosomal RNA
Source: RNAcentral
UACGUAGGGUGCGAGCGUUAAUCGGAAUUACUGGGCGUAAAGUGUGCGCAGGCGGCGCCGCAAGUCGAGUGUGAAAGCCCCGAGCUUAACUUGGGAAUUGCGCUCGAAACUAUGGUGCUGGAGUGUGGCAGAGGAAGGUGGAAUUCCACGUGUAGCGGUGAAAUGCGUAGAGAUGUGGAGGAACACCGAUGGCGAAGGCGGCUCACUGGCCCGAUACUGACGCUGAGGUGCGAAAGCGUGGGGAGCAAACAGG